ACUACCCCUGGCAGUUUUGCAGGUGUGGCUGCUGUCGCACAUGUAUGUCAAUAGGCGACAAGUAGUAGAGAGGCUAUGUCACCACUCAGUGUUCUGACUGGUGAGCAGCUGAAUGACUAGUAACCUAACAUU
Rattus norvegicus (Norway rat) is the source of this 132-nucleotide small nucleolar RNA. Ensembl annotates it as small nucleolar RNA SNORA17. Lineage: Eukaryota; Metazoa; Chordata; Mammalia; Rodentia; Muridae. The record is from Ensembl.